This 551-nucleotide ribosomal RNA is filed under the name uncultured bacterium. RNAcentral's name for it is "bacterial SSU rRNA". It matches the Rfam family "Bacterial small subunit ribosomal RNA", at positions 355 to 896 of the family's 1533-position model. The record is from RNAcentral.
UAGGGAAUCUUCGCGCAAUGGACGGAAGUCUGACCGAGCAACGCCGCGUGAGUGAAGAAGGUUUUCGGAUCGUAAAGCUCUGUUGUAAGAGAAGAACGAGUGUGAGAGUGGAAAGUUCACACUGUGACGGUAUCUUACCAGAAAGGGACGGCUAACUACGUGCCAGCAGCCGCGGUAAUACGUAGGUCCCGAGCGUUGUCCGGAUUUAUUGGGCGUAAAGCGAGCGCAGGCGGUUAGAUAAGUCUGAAGUUAAAGGCUGUGGCUUAACCAUAGUACGCUUUGGAAACUGUUUAACUUGAGUGCAAGAGGGGAGAGUGGAAUUCCAUGUGUAGCGGUGAAAUGCGUAGAUAUAUGGAGGAACACCGGUGGCGAAAGCGGCUCUCUGGCUUGUAACUGACGCUGAGGCUCGAAAGCGUGGGGAGCAAACAGGAUUAGAUACCCUGGUAGUCCACGCCGUAAACGAUGAGUGCUAGGUGUUAGACCCUUUCCGGGGUUUAGUGCCGCAGCUAACGCAUUAAGCACUCCGCCUGGGGAGUACGACCGCAAGGUUG